GCGGCCGUAGGCAAAUCGGCAAAGCCGCCGGUGCGAGAGACCGGUGUAUGAGGGUUCGAAUCCCUCCGGCCGCA
This 74-nucleotide transfer RNA is filed under the name Planctomycetota bacterium. RNAcentral's name for it is "tRNA-Leu". It matches the Rfam family "tRNA". Rfam says of the family: Transfer RNA (tRNA) molecules are approximately 80 nucleotides in length. Their secondary structure includes four short double-helical elements and three loops (D, anti-codon, and T loops). Further hydrogen bonds mediate the characteristic L-shaped molecular structure. tRNAs have two regions of fundamental functional importance: the anti-codon, which is responsible for specific mRNA codon recognition, and the 3' end, to which the tRNAs corresponding amino acid is attached (by aminoacyl-tRNA synthetases). tRNAs cope with the degeneracy of the genetic code in two manners: having more than one tRNA (with a specific anti-codon) for a particular amino acid; and 'wobble' base-pairing, i.e. permitting non-standard base-pairing at the 3rd anti-codon position. Lineage: Bacteria; Pseudomonadati; Planctomycetota. The record is from RNAcentral.